RNAcentral lists this transfer RNA (88 nucleotides) under Gillisia sp. Hel_I_86. Its description in RNAcentral is "tRNA-Ser". It matches the Rfam family "tRNA". From Rfam's summary of the family: Transfer RNA (tRNA) molecules are approximately 80 nucleotides in length. Lineage: Bacteria; Pseudomonadati; Bacteroidota; Flavobacteriia; Flavobacteriales; Flavobacteriaceae. The record is from RNAcentral.
GGAGAAUUGGCAGAGUGGUCGAAUGCGGCAGUCUUGAAAACUGUUGAGGGUUACACCUCCGGGGGUUCGAAUCCCUCAUUCUCCGCGA